CCAAUAGCGUAUAUUAAAGUUGUUGCAGUUAAAAAGCUCGUAGUUGAAUUUCGGGAUCAAUAUUUCGGUCCUGCCGUUGGUAUGCACUGUUAUCAUUGAUUUCUCACCUUCUAAAGAACCGUAAUGCCAUUAAUUUGGUGUUACUGGGAAUUAGGACUGUUACCUUGAAAAACUUAGAGUGUUUCAUGCAGGCUCACGCUUGAAUAAAUUAGCAUCGAAUAAUGAAAUAGGACAUCCGAUUCUAUUUUGUUGGUUUCUAGGAUCGAUGUAAUGAUUAAUAGGGAUAGUUGGGGGCAUUAGUAUUCAAUUGUCAGAGGUGAAAUUCUUGGAUUUAUUGAAGACUAACUACUGCGAAAGCAUUUGCCAAGGAUGUUUUCAUUAAUCAAGAACGAAAGUUAGGGGAUCGAAGACGAUCAGAUACCGUCGUAGUCUUAACCACAAACUAUGCCGACUAGGGAUCGGAUGAUGUUAAUUUUUUAAUGACUCAUUCGGCGCCUUACG
Molecule: ribosomal RNA, 501 nt
Filed under: uncultured Glomeromycotina
Lineage: Eukaryota; Fungi; Glomeromycota
Description: partial small subunit ribosomal RNA
Rfam family: Eukaryotic small subunit ribosomal RNA
Source: RNAcentral